UUUUUCUUCAUCAUUCCUACUUUCUUUCCUCUAUCAAAAACUCAUGAUUUCACAUUCCCUUCUUUCUUCUGUCAAAAACUCUUACCCCAAAAAUUUUCACUCACUUUCUCACCAUCUAAUUACCACCAAAAUCACAUAUCUUAAACCCUUUUCAUUUUCCUCCCCAUUUUUCAGCCACCAUCAACCAACUCCCACAACUUCCCCUCCCCUUUUCAAACUAACCCAUAAAAACUCAUGGCUUGAACCAACUGAGCUGAACUACACUUUCACCUAUCUUAGAUAACCUUGUGAUGGGAACCCAAUUGGACCAACCGUCUCAAAUGAAACUAUCGGUAAUGGCCCUUCCACUUCGUCUGCUUGCUAUAUGUCCACCAUGUUUAUUUUACUUUACCUCUCAAUUUCGUUUUAUUUGUAAAUAUUGUGUGGAAGGAAAAGUAGUGAUAAUAAAAAGGAGAAGAAAGAGGGUAAUGUAAGAUACAAUUUCAUGAAGCAAACAAUAAUAUCAAAAUUAAUAGUACCUAAUUUGUUUAAAAAUCAUUGUGCAAAUCAUAGUAUCCUUCUUCACCAUAAAUAGCCACUAUAACAAACAAACAAAUUACAAAAUGAAUUCUUCGAUAAAAAGCUUUAAAUCCUUAGAAACUUAUAAAGUAAAAAGAUAAAAAUCUAAUGGAGUUGCCUGCAUCUACCAUUUUUUUUGUUCUUUCUCGUAUUUUCUCAAGAAACAAAUAAAAAAAAUCUAACUACCCAAAAACUGAAAAAAUAGAAAAAAAAAUUGAAUACGAAAAAAAAAAAAAGAUGAACCAAGGCUCGAAAUAUAAAACAAAGAUAAACCUAGAAGCUAAAAAGAAAGCAAAGUGAACAAAAAAAAACUAUUUUUUUUGUGUUCUUUCUCAUAUUUUCCCAGGAAAAAACAAAAAAAUCCAAC
Molecule: long non-coding RNA, 925 nt
Filed under: Gossypium raimondii (Peruvian cotton)
Lineage: Eukaryota; Viridiplantae; Streptophyta; Magnoliopsida; Malvales; Malvaceae
Description: long non-coding RNA (GRAI_LNC004019)
Source: RNAcentral